GAUGAACGCUGGCGGCGUGCCUAAUACAUGCAAGUCGAACGAAUCUUCUUCGGAAGAUGAGUGGCGAACGGGUGAGUAAUACAUAGGUAACCUGCCCCUGUGCGGGGGAUAACAGGAGGAAACUCCUGCUAAUACCGCAUAGCCAUGAGCACCGCAUGGAGCUCAUGCCAAAUAUCCUUCAGGGGAUAGCGCAGGGAUGGACCUAUGGCGCAUUAGCUAGUUGGCGGGGCAACGGCCCACCAAGGCAACGAUGCGUAGCCGGCCUGAGAGGGCGGACGGCCACAUUGGGACUGAGACACGGCCCAGACUCCUACGGGAGGCAGCAGUAGGGAAUUUUCGGCAAUGGGGGAAACCCUGACCGAGCAACGCCGCGUGAGCGAAGAAGGCCUUCGGGUCGUAAAGCUCUGUUGUAAAGGAAGAACGUCGCAUGCAGGAAAUGGUGUGCGAGUGACGGUAC
RNAcentral lists this ribosomal RNA (457 nucleotides) under uncultured bacterium. Its description in RNAcentral is "bacterial SSU rRNA". It matches the Rfam family "Bacterial small subunit ribosomal RNA", at positions 28 to 478 of the family's 1533-position model. The record is from RNAcentral.